RNAcentral lists this ribosomal RNA (967 nucleotides) under Myxococcales bacterium. RNAcentral describes it as "bacterial SSU rRNA". It matches the Rfam family "Bacterial small subunit ribosomal RNA", at positions 8 to 950 of the family's 1533-position model. The record is from RNAcentral. Lineage: Bacteria; Pseudomonadati; Myxococcota; Myxococcia; Myxococcales.
AGAGUUUGAUCCUGGCUCAGAGCGAACGUUAGCGGCGGGCUUAACACAUGCAAGUCGAACGAGAAAGGGAGCUUGCUCCUGAGUAAAGUGGCGCACGGGUGAGUAACACGUAGGCAAUCUACCCUUUGGCGGGGGACAACCUCCUGAAAAGGAGGCUAAUACCGCGUAAGACCGCAGUCACCUCGGUGACCGUGGUGAAAGGUGGCCUCUCCUUGGAAGCUACCACCGAAGGAUGAACCUGCGUCCCAUCAGCUAGUUGGUGAGGUAAUAGCUCACCAAGGCAAAGACGGGUAGCUGGUCUGAGAGGAUGAUCAGCCACACUGGCACUGGAACACGGGCCAGACUCCCACGGGAGGCAGCAGUGAGGAAUAUUGGGCAAUGGGCGAAAGCCUGACCCAGCCACGCCGCGUGAGUGAUGAAGGCCCUCGGGUCGUAAAGCUCUGUGGGGAGGGACGAAAACGCUUCAUUCGAAUAGGGUGAAGUCUUGACGGUACCUCCUUAGCAAGCACCGGCUAACUCUGUGCCAGCAGCCGCGGUAAGACAGAGGGUGCGAACGUUGCUCGGAAUUACUGGGCGUAAAGCGCGUGUAGGCGGACUUGUAAGUCGAUUGUGAAAGCCCUGGGCUCAACCCAGGAACUGCAUUCGAAACUACAAGUCUUGAGUGGUGGAGAGGGAAGCGGAAUUCCCGGUGUAGAGGUGAAAUUCGUAGAUAUCGGGAGGAACACCAGCGGCGAAGGCGGCUUCCUGGACACCAACUGACGCUGAGACGCGAAAGCGUGGGGAGCAAACAGGAUUAGAUACCCUGGUAGUCCACGCCGUAAACGAUGAGUGCUAGGUGCUGUGGGUAUUGACCCCUGCAGUGCCGAAGUUAACGCAUUAAGCACUCCGCCUGGGGAGUACGGCCGCAAGGCUAAAACUCAAAGGAAUUGACGGGGGCCCGCACAAGCGGUGGAGCAUGUGGUUUAAU